GUUCUACAGCAGCUACGCACACACGGUGGUAUCUGUGAGAAGCUCUGUGGACUCAAAGGUUUUCUCCCUGAAAGGCAUAGCCCAGGCCCGCUGAUUCAUCAGAAUCAGGAAGCUGAGCAUCUCUGUGGUCCUGAGCAUCCCAGGAGGCCGACUGUACAGAGACCUCUGGUCCCUGUCCCCAGUCUGCCUCCACAUCCCUGGAAUAGCCCAUCAUGGGCCCUUCACCCUUGGCAGGUGGACACCAUUGAAACUGCCAGGCCAAGAUGGACAUGGUAGAGGAUGCAGAUACUUUGCAGGAGUGAGGGGACAUCAUUAUGCAGCAUGAGAAGGGACACUGAGCUGGUCUGCCAGAGGACAUGGGGCCUGUGCCUGUUGGAAUCUACGGCAACAUUGAUCGCUUUGGGAUUCUGCAGGGUCACCCAGGAGGGAUGACAGAGCUGCCAAGAGCUCUCCUGUACCAGGGAGCAGCUGGUACCAUGGACCGAGCACCCCCCAGGUUCCAAGCCCUGGGCCAGACUGGAACAUGUGGGGCCAGAACCCAGGAGGAUCCUGAGGAGACAGACAGCAGCAAAGAAAAUCAUGCACAAUGGUGAAAAGUGCUCUCCCUGACCCACAGGGACCCAUGGUAGGACCCACAGGAGGGCAGCAGGAUGGAGGGCCCAUGAGCUUCCCCAGGCAACACUGACAGCACCAAAAGCUGGGGAGCAUGGGGUCCUGGAAACUCUCAUCCAGGUCUGCUGGGAACAUCACAUGGCACAGCCACUUUGGCAGCCAGUUGCGUAGUGGCUCACAAAGUUCAAUGGACUUGAACCACAUGUCCCCAAAGCGUCACUGAUAUUGAACCCACUGAUUUGAAAACUGGUGUCCACAUGAAACCUGCAUGCCAUGUUCACUGCUUGAUUCAUUGACACUCACACAUGGAGGCUACGGGAAUGACCUUCAACACGGGAAUGCAGAGAGGAAGGGUGGUCCUGCCUUCAAAUGGCAGAAGAUUCAGUGAGAAAAGGGAAUGAUCUAGUGAUGCCCACAUGAACGUGGGUGGAUCCUAGAUGCGUUUUGCUAAGGGAAAGAAGCCAGGCCCAAUAAGCUACCACAACAGGAUUCCCAUUCCUAGGCCACUCUGGAAAAGGCCAAACCAUAGGGACUGAGAACUGGUCUGGGUGGCCAGAUGCUGACGGAUCAGGGAGAGGCUGGCUGCAUAGGGGCCACCCUGGAGACUUGGAGGAUGAAGGAGUCACUCCAGGAGGGGCUGGAGCAGUGGCCAGGAGAUUCUGCACAUUGGUUUAGAACUCU
Molecule: small RNA, 1293 nt
Filed under: Pongo abelii (Sumatran orangutan)
Lineage: Eukaryota; Metazoa; Chordata; Mammalia; Primates; Hominidae
Description: retained intron
Source: RNAcentral